This 504-nucleotide ribosomal RNA is filed under the name uncultured bacterium. Its description in RNAcentral is "partial 16S ribosomal RNA". It matches the Rfam family "Bacterial small subunit ribosomal RNA", at positions 32 to 523 of the family's 1533-position model. The record is from RNAcentral.
AACGCUGGCGGCGCGCUUAACACAUGCAAGUCGAGCGAGAACCAGGGCUUCGGCCCUGGGGACAGCGGCGAACGGGUGAGUAACACGUGGGUAAUCUGCCCUCGGCACCGGAAUAGCCCGGGGAAACCCGGAUUAAUGCCGGAUGGCCCCUUCACCUCGCGAGGUGUCGGGAAAAGGUAGCUUCGGCCUCUGGCCGAGGAUGAGCCCGCGGCGGAUUAGCUUGUUGGCGGGGUAACGGCCCACCAAGGCGACGAUCCGUAGCUGGUCUGAGAGGACGAUCAGCCAGGCGGGGACUGAGACACGGCCCAGACUCCUACGGGAGGCAGCAGUGGGGAAUCUUGCGCAAUGGGCGAAAGCCUGACGCAGCGACGCCGCGUGAGGGAAGAAGGCCUUCGGGUUGUAAACCUCUUUCAGGGGGGACGAAGCUACUCGGGUGAAUAGCCCAGAGGGUGACGGUACCUCCAGAAGAAGCCCCGGCUAACUACGUGCCAGCCGCCGCCGUAA